UCAGGCUGAUCUUGAUGAUGCCGGUCAGCACCGACACCUGUGGACGGGGACACGGGGAUGCAGAGCCGCUACAGCAGGUGCUGGGCGGGUGCGGGAUCCCUGAGGGCACCGCGUUCUGUGCAGGGGCCAGGGAGCCAGCAAAAUGCCAGUAGCUGUGAUGGGGUAGAAAGUCCCAAAACCCAGGAUCCAGUCCAGGAUUCCAUCUUGCCUAAGCCUGACUAUUUGGGAAAGGUAUAUUGCUUUGC
Molecule: long non-coding RNA, 245 nt
Organism: Dama dama (fallow deer)
Lineage: Eukaryota; Metazoa; Chordata; Mammalia; Artiodactyla; Cervidae
Exons: 3
Source: RefSeq, a predicted model, not a curated record